This 497-nucleotide ribosomal RNA is filed under the name uncultured bacterium. Its description in RNAcentral is "partial 16S ribosomal RNA". It matches the Rfam family "Bacterial small subunit ribosomal RNA", at positions 28 to 507 of the family's 1533-position model. The record is from RNAcentral.
GACGAACGCUGGCGGCGUGCCUAAUACAUGCAAGUUGAGCGCUGAAGGUUGGUACUUGUACCAACUGGAUGAGCAGCGCACGGGUGAGUAACGCGUGGGGAAUCUGCCUUUGAGCGGGGGACAACAUUUGGAAACGAAUGCUAAUACCGCAUAAAAACUUUAAACACAAGUUUUAAGUUUGAAAGAUGCAAUUGCAUCACUCAAAGAUGAUCCCGCGUUGUAUUAGCUAGUUGGUGAGGUAAAGGCUCACCAAGGCGAUGAUACAUAGCCGACCCGAGAGGGUGAUCGGCCAAAUUGGGACUGAGACACGGGCCAAGCUCCUACGGGAAGCAGCAGGAGGGAAUCUUCGGCAAUGGACGAAAGUCUGAACGAGCAACGCCGCGGGAGUGAAGAAGGUUUUCGGAUCGUAAAACUCUGUUGGUAGAGAAGAACGUUGGUGAGAGUGGAAAGCUCAUCAAGUGACGGUAACUACCCAGAAAGCGACGGCUAACUACGUG